This 253-nucleotide ribosomal RNA is filed under the name uncultured bacterium. RNAcentral's name for it is "partial 16S ribosomal RNA". It matches the Rfam family "Bacterial small subunit ribosomal RNA", at positions 524 to 776 of the family's 1533-position model. The record is from RNAcentral.
UACGGAGGGGGUUAGCGUUGUUCGGAAUUACUGGGCGUAAAGCGCGCGUAGGCGGACCAGAAAGUUGNGGGUGAAAUCCCGGGGCUCAACCCCGGAACGGCCUCCAAAACUCCUGGUCUUGAGUUCGAGAGAGGUGAGUGGAAUUCCGAGUGUAGAGGUGAAAUUCGUAGAUAUUCGGAGGAACACCAGUGGCGAAGGCGGCUCACUGGCUCGAUACUGACGCUGAGGUGCGAAAGUGUGGGGAGCAAACAGG